GGGCCUGUAGCUCAAUGGCAGAGCCCCCGGCUCAUAACCGGAUCGUUGUAGGUUCGACUCCUACCGGGCCCA
RNAcentral lists this transfer RNA (72 nucleotides) under Deltaproteobacteria bacterium. RNAcentral's name for it is "tRNA-Ile". It matches the Rfam family "tRNA". Rfam says of the family: Transfer RNA (tRNA) molecules are approximately 80 nucleotides in length. Lineage: Bacteria; Pseudomonadati; Myxococcota; Myxococcia. The record is from RNAcentral.